Molecule: long non-coding RNA, 388 nt
Filed under: Gossypium barbadense (sea-island cotton)
Lineage: Eukaryota; Viridiplantae; Streptophyta; Magnoliopsida; Malvales; Malvaceae
Description: long non-coding RNA (GBAR_LNC009458)
Source: RNAcentral
AUGAUCUGAUGAUGCCACCAUGAUCUUCUUUUUCUUCUUUGCCAAAAGGAAAGGGAUCCUGGCCCGCCUUGUAUAACAUUCUUCAUAAUGACUGUUAUUAUUGCCACUAUCAAGCCUAGUUUUUGUUAUGGGACGAACAGACAUAGACAGUGAAGAAGCGGAAAAAGUGGCAACACCACCACCACCACCACCACCACUAACGCCACCAUUUCCGCCACAACUAGUAGCAAUGGCACCAGUAUCAGAUCUAAAAGAAGGCGGGGAAGAAGAAAAAGAAGGUGAAGCACGAAUCGGUAAAGGAAAAGAAGAAGAAACCAACUUGCCUAGCUUCUCUUGAAGGCAAAAAGCACAGAUCCCACCAGGGUUAUUUCUAUAAGGAUGAUUACUG